This is a long non-coding RNA of Carassius gibelio (silver crucian carp), 1127 nucleotides long. RefSeq lists it as uncharacterized. The transcript is spliced from 3 exons. NCBI's taxonomy places the organism in Eukaryota, Metazoa, Chordata, Actinopteri, Cypriniformes, Cyprinidae. The record is from RefSeq and is a predicted model, not a curated record.
AGAUGUUAAAAGCAAGAGACAUGGGAGAGCAUCAUUCCUUUGAGAUUUUAUAAAUCAAACCAACUUUGGAGUUGUCUGAUUUGGAGAGUCAUUAUUCUUGGUCUUCGCUCUUAGAGGCCAAUGAUGAAGAACAGGCGGUGACUGGGAUGAAUCCUGGUCAGAGAGGAGAAUCUUCUUUCCCCUAAACUGAUGCAGCGGUGGUUUUAAAGGAGGACGCUGCCCUGGAUGAUGUAGAAGAUGUCAGAUGCUGUGCAGAUGGGAUUUCUUCAUGAUUACAUCAGUUAUGCUAAAGAGAUCAUGAAAAUUGACCGUGAUGCAUGAUCUGUAUUCAUGGACUAUGAAACAAACUGUAAGUGUAUAAUUUGUUAAAAAAAAAAAAAAAAGUUAAAUGCUUUUUCUGUGUUGUUUAGUAGAAGAGUUUACACUCUGUCAUUCAUACACCUGCUCACAUUCUUUCACACACACACACACACACAUACACGUCUAUGUUACUAAGAGGGGACUAUCACUCUACACUGACCAAGAGGGGACCAGUGUUUCUGGUCAUUUUUAAGAAACAAAAAUUACAUACAAAAUUUUCAUUUGAGGUCUUUUUUCAUAAUAUAACUGAAAAAAUGCAUUUUUAUUUAUUUUUUUAAAAACAUGCCAAGUGGGGACCUGAGUGACGUCUACCUAUCCAACAGAGGACCUCCAUAGACUGCAAUGCAACUGUGUGUGCAAACAUUAGGGCAAUUGUACCAAGUCUUUCUUUACAAUCUAACUGUAUUUAAAUGCAACUCUAAACUUUGAAACAUUCACACUAUAUCUCCAUUGAAGAAAUAUUCUAAUAGAAAUCCAAAAUGUUUAAUAAAUUAGUAUGACAUGCAGAUAUUUUCGGGGCUUGAGACUAAUACAAAUACACUUCUCAAUAUAUGAAUGCAAUCACACAGAUAAUAAGACAAAACAAGCAAGACACUACAGUUAAUUUGAGGAUAGCAAAAAUAAAAUAAAAUAAAGAGCUCUUUAAGAUAACAAUUGCAUGUCAAUACUUCUGACAGUAAAGAGUGCAUGUGUUAGAUAAAAUGAGUUUGGUCCCCAGUUAGAUGGUGACGUGUGACGCCUGUUAGACUGAAUCACCUCUUCUUACA